GGCUAAAGAGUCCAAUUGGAUUGUGACUGGUGAGGAGUCUCACUAGGACUGAAACUCUGAAGGAGAGUUUCACUGAGACUAGGACUCUACUAUUUAUAAAGAAUUAAUUAAUAAUUAUUAAAUUACUAAUUGACUCAAUUUGAUUGAGUAAAGAGUUUUGGAUUAAGUCUAACUGAAUUAGAUUCGGUUUGACUCAGAAUGAGUUUGAUAUAAUCAAUCCUGAUUAUAAGAAAAAUUUGAUCCUGAUUCGAUCAGAGUUUGGACUCAGCUAAUUCUUAAUUGGAUUAAAAAUUUGAUGAGA
This 301-nucleotide long non-coding RNA is filed under the name Elaeis guineensis (African oil palm). Its description in RNAcentral is "long non-coding RNA (EGUI_LNC080456)". Lineage: Eukaryota; Viridiplantae; Streptophyta; Magnoliopsida; Arecales; Arecaceae. The record is from RNAcentral.